ACCCCAUUUGUAGAGAAGCACAUUGAGAGGGCGGGGCUUCAGAGGAAGGUGUCCAAUCGGAGGCUACCAUCUGUGGAUGCAUUUGAUGAGGCCGUUCAGAGAUGCUUGGAGCAGGGUCCCAACCAAGGUUUACAUAAACUAAGUCUAAAAUUUUGCAUCAAUCCUAUUUUGUCUGUAUCUAAAAUGGUUAUCUAAUAUCUCUCUCCUUUAGAUCAAUCUGUAUUUCAGGAUGGAAAAACUCUAGAAGAUUCUUCAUUCUUCAGAAGUUCACACUCGGCCUCAAUGAUGUCACAGAGCUUUAUGCCCAGCUUAAUAAAAAAGACGACAAAGUGGGACCGUCUGCAGAGAUGGAGAGGGAUGCAGAGAACGAGCGAGAACAUGAGCUUGAGCGAGCCAGUGAGAUUCCAGACUCAGAACCUUUAAUUCAAGAAGGAAAAGAUCAUGAGAUGGAAUCACAGGAUGAUGAGGAAGAGGAAGAGGAAGAGGUGGUGCUUUCAUCCCAAGAAAAUGUGUUUUUGAGUCCAGAAGAUGAUAUUGUACUUCCUCCAACGCAGACAAUGACAGAAUUACUUCCUGAAUCGCGUGAUGUGCAGCUAGAAGAUCGAGAAUUUGUGGAGGAAGUUGAGAUUGGGAAUGUUGUGGAAAUUGAGGAUGUGGAAAUUGAAGAUGACAGCGUUGAGGAUGAGAUGGUUGUGGAUGAGAAUGUUGAGGAAAUCGAGGAUGAGGAGGUUGUUAAAGCUGAACAUGAAAAUGUUGAAGAGAACCCAGACACCUCACAGUGUCUAGAGCGAAUAACUCGUAGAGCUCACCGCUCAGAGGGAGGAGGCUCUGUCGUGGGAAUUCCGCCUGCCACGGGAGUCACAAAGAAUUUUGGAGCUGGAUUGAACCCCAGAGAGAAAGAUCUUUUGGAUUUUGUGGACGAGAACCGUGAGAAUUUACAGGACUUUUCGGAUGAAGAAAGAGAACCGCUGGGCAGCCAAGAGUUUCCUCGCCUCCAUCCUCCAGCAGAGCUCAGCUCACCAGAGCAGAGGUCACGGCAACAUGAGGCUAGUCUGGCUGAGGGAGAUGUGCCAGAGCUUGAAGAAGAUGAUGACGCCCCAGAAGAACUUAACCAAUCAGAGGAGGAGGAGCUGAUAGACUCUGGGUCAGCCAGUCAGAGCCCUGAACUUCCACAAGAAGAGGAAGAGAACGAUGAUGACGACGCUCUUAGUGCAGAACUGUCCAUCAAAACUCCUGCGUUUGUAAGACAGAAGAGAGAUUUCACAGGUUCUGUUGCGCAGGCUAUGCCAACAGUCUUUAAAGUGAAUGCUGGAAGUUGGACCCAGUGGACCCGAAACCAAUUUCAUCAUCACUGCGGGACUGAGUCACACUGCUACUCAGCAAAGAGAGUGAGAGAAGAUCUGCUCGGCCAAAAAUACUUGAAUACUACACACCAGAUGGGAAUAAAGUGAAAACUAAAUAGGAAAACAGAACGAAGGACAAAGAUGUAGAAGGUUCAAGAAAACUCACUUUCUGGUCUGACCUUUUCUGGUCUGGUCUUGUCAGACCUUUGCACACAGGUUUCUGAUGAAUGGACCAUGACAUUUAAAAUCCCAAGUCUCAAAAACCACAAAGACUAGUUAUUUCCAGAGAAGAGACAGUGCAGGAAGCAGAGCCCAUGAUGACAUCACCACCC
This is a long non-coding RNA of Cyprinus carpio carpio, 1675 nucleotides long. NCBI's taxonomy places the organism in Eukaryota, Metazoa, Chordata, Actinopteri, Cypriniformes, Cyprinidae. The record is from Ensembl.